GGAGGCGUAGCUCAGUCGGUAGAGCAACGGACUUUUAAUCCGUAGGUCCUGGGUUCGAGCCCCAGCGCCUUCA
Molecule: transfer RNA, 73 nt
Filed under: Planctomycetota bacterium
Lineage: Bacteria; Pseudomonadati; Planctomycetota
Also listed under: 2 other names
Description: tRNA-Lys
Rfam family: tRNA
About the family: Transfer RNA (tRNA) molecules are approximately 80 nucleotides in length.
Source: RNAcentral